Molecule: ribosomal RNA, 486 nt
Filed under: uncultured bacterium
Lineage: Bacteria
Description: partial 16S ribosomal RNA
Rfam family: Bacterial small subunit ribosomal RNA
Source: RNAcentral
AUUGAACGCUGGCGGCAUGCCUUACACAUGCAAGUCGAACGGCAGCACGGGUGCUUGCACCUGGUGGCGAGUGGCGAACGGGUGAGUAAUACAUCGGAACAUGUCCUGUAGUGGGGGAUAGCCCGGCGAAAGCCGGAUUAAUACCGCAUACGAUCUACGGAUGAAAGCGGGGGACCUUCGGGCCUCGCGCUAUAGGGUUGGCCGAUGGCUGAUUAGCUAGUUGGUGGGGUAAAGGCCUACCAAGGCGACGAGCAGUAGCUGGUCUGAGAGGACGACCAGCCACACUGGAACUGAGACACGGCCCAGACUCCUACGGGAGGCAGCAGUGGGGAAUUUUGGACAAAGGGCGAAAGCCUGAUCCAGCAAUGCCGCGUGUGUGAAGAAGGCCUUCGGGUUGUAAAGCACUUUUGUCCGGAAAGAAAUCCUUGGCCCUAAUACGGUCGGGGGAUGACGGUACCGGAAGAAUAAGCACCGGCUAACUACGUG